Molecule: ribosomal RNA, 401 nt
Filed under: uncultured bacterium
Lineage: Bacteria
Description: partial 16S ribosomal RNA
Rfam family: Bacterial small subunit ribosomal RNA
Source: RNAcentral
AAUCUUGCGCAAUGGGCGAAAGCCUGACGCAGCAACGCCGCGUGCGGGAUGACGGCCNNNGUGGUNGUAAACCGCUUUCAGCANGGANGAAACUGACGGUACCUGCAGAAGAAGCCCCGGCUAACUACGUGCCAGCAGCCGCGGUAAUACGUAGGGGGCAAGCGUUGUCCGGAUUCAUUGGGCGUAAAGAGCUCGUAGGCGGUUCAGUAAGUCAGGUGUUAAAGCUCCGAGCUCAACUCGGAGAGGCCAUCUGAUACUGCUGUGACUAGAAUCCAGUAGGGGAGCCUGGAAUUCCUGGUGUAGCGGUGAAAUGCGCAGAUAUCAGGAGGAACACCAGCGGCGAAGGCGGCGCUCUGGGCUGAGAUUGACGCUGAGGAGCGAAAGUGUGGGUAGCAAACAGG